Molecule: ribosomal RNA, 216 nt
Filed under: Klebsiella michiganensis
Lineage: Bacteria; Pseudomonadati; Pseudomonadota; Gammaproteobacteria; Enterobacterales; Enterobacteriaceae
Description: partial 23S ribosomal RNA
Rfam family: Bacterial large subunit ribosomal RNA
Source: RNAcentral
AACGCUGAGGUGUGAUGACGAGGCACUACGGUGCUGAAGUGACAAAUGCCCUGCUUCCAGGAAAAGCCUCUAAGCAUCAGGUAACAUCAAAUCGUACCCCAAACCGACACAGGUGGUCAGGUAGAGAAUACCAAGGCGCUUGAGAGAACUCGGGUGAAGGAACUAGGCAAAAUGGUGCCGUAACUUCGGGAGAAGGCACGCUGAUGGUAGGUGAAG